CACACACUGACAGACAUUUAGAUACACACAGACACACGGACAGAGACAUUUACAUACACACACACACUGACAGACAUAGAUACACACACACACUGACAGACAUAGAUACACACACUGACAGACAUAUACAAACACACUGACAGACAUAGAUACACACACACACUGACAGACAUACAGAUACACACAUACACAAUGAUAGACAUACACAAAGAC
Non-coding RNA from Pelobates cultripes (western spadefoot toad), 213 nucleotides. Lineage: Eukaryota; Metazoa; Chordata; Amphibia; Anura; Pelobatidae. The record is from the annotation of a GenBank genome assembly.